AGGAUAAUAGCUCAAUGGUAGAGCACAUGCGCUUAGCAUGCAUGAGGUCCUGGGUUAAACCCUCAGUACCUA
Molecule: transfer RNA, 72 nt
Filed under: Camelus bactrianus (Bactrian camel)
Lineage: Eukaryota; Metazoa; Chordata; Mammalia; Artiodactyla; Camelidae
Also listed under: 2 other names
Rfam family: tRNA
About the family: Transfer RNA (tRNA) molecules are approximately 80 nucleotides in length. Their secondary structure includes four short double-helical elements and three loops (D, anti-codon, and T loops).
Source: Rfam by way of RNAcentral